This is a long non-coding RNA of Scleropages formosus (Asian bonytongue), 1847 nucleotides long. NCBI's taxonomy places the organism in Eukaryota, Metazoa, Chordata, Actinopteri, Osteoglossiformes, Osteoglossidae. The record is from Ensembl.
GUCACUUUUUCAGUUUCCGACCGGAAGGCUGCAAGGCUGUUUUCCUUACGUUUUACGCAGAUCGAUAGAACGCGGCAACGGGACUGUGACCGGGCGCUAAUCGAUCGCCAUGCCCCGUGCAGCGCUCGGCGCUGCAGAGAAGCGGGUUCGAGGUGGGACUUUCUCAGAAAUGCGCACCCUUGCUGAAAUGAGAGGAGAGAGGCAGCUGAAAACGGGGUGCGCGUGACACGCUGCUUCUGAGGGCGGGACGACUCGUGCAAAAUGCCGACUGGAAGCCGCAGAGCGGGGCUGCGUGCGCUUGACGCGGACGUAGACGCGCACGCUGACACAUACCGCCGCGGACACGCCGCGGCAAUGUUCCGUGACCGUGUUCCUCAGAUAUUUUCCACUGACGGAGGGGGGAAAAAAGAUCGGGGGGCACGUGCGCGGAGAAUGAGCGCUCCUGCUACCGAUGGCCCGGUCCACCCCUGUUGACAAGCGGUGAAUGAGAUCCACCCCUCCGGCAGGCUCAGCUGUGUCUAUUCACAGAUGUUAGGACGUCCUCACACUGAUGCUCAUGGUGUGAGAGGCAGGGACCCGGACCGGGCAUCUGGGCAAAAUAAAUCAGUCCUUGCUACUCGAAGUCAGCUCUGUCACCAUGACUCCCUCUGCAGGACAUCGUCCCGUAGCAGACAUGUUCCACAGCCAUGCAACUGCUGAAGCUAUUUAUCACUGUUGCGAGACCCCAAGACCCUCUGCUUUCCUCCUACGUGCAUCCAGAGCCAUUACAUUAUGAGCCAUGUCUAAUUUCCUGGUCUGUGCGAUGCCUCUGUACGGUACAACCUGGCGAGACCUUCCACAAGCUCUUUGCCCUUUUACUGCAGGACUUGAUUUCAAAGUGUUUCUGCGGCUCCGAUACCUUCCGGCUGCUAAAGACAUCAACUCCAGCGUUCGGCCCGAUAGCAGACUGUGUUGGAGGCACCUCUGGCGGUUUGUGGAGGACAGCUGGAUACACCAUUGUCGCUGUGCUGUAUAUCCAAACAUUUACCACUCCCCACCCCCACUCUUACUCUCCCUGUGUUGACAGAACAAACUGAGCUAAAAGGCUUCUGUCUAUGUCAAAAUAACAGCGGGGCCCAGCCGAACGUUUCAGAAGCACUCGGGAAUCGUACAGUUCUUUUGCACGAGGACAAACGCUCGGUUGACGUGAGGAGCACAUCGAGGACACGCUGACCGCAACCCAUUGCAGCCAUCAGGGGCCGCAGGGUCUGCAGGUCAUCCCACUGUCCUAGUGCUUAACUGACCAUUCAGCGCCACUGCUUGGGGAUAAAAUGACAUCAACUUUUUUGAAGGUGAAAAUUUCCCAGUUGGCGAAGGAAUCAUACCCGUGAGACCGGUGGUUUUGCUUCUUAGCCCGCAGAGAAAUUUCGUCAAAUGGCCGACAGCCGAGAGCCAUCGAGAAGCUCACGGCAACGCGGCUCGCGGCGGGUCUGACCGGACAGCCCGGACCCGUAGCAAGACCAAGGGCUGCACCGACCCGGCAUUGACUCACGCACGUCCAGGAAAGGGCACAAAUCAAAAGUGGUCUCAUUCCGUCCGCUUCUUUCUACAAGAUCUUGCAAAGCAGCAUACCGCCACAGUCAGCAAUAGUGCCAUAACUUGUGCUCGUGUCUGGCCUCUCACGAAAGUUUACUUUUAUUUUCCAGACAUGCCACGGCUCGCGGCUUGCCGAGGACGUUCUCAGUGCUGGCAAAAACAAUAUAUCUAGAAGAAGAUAAACUGUUUACUCAACAUGGACUUCGUCAGAUAAAGAUCCGGUGCGCACAAUGUGCCGUAAACAGAAUAAAACCGACCAGCGUGUCGAGCCA